Molecule: ribosomal RNA, 551 nt
Filed under: Anaplasma bovis
Lineage: Bacteria; Pseudomonadati; Pseudomonadota; Alphaproteobacteria; Rickettsiales; Anaplasmataceae
Description: bacterial SSU rRNA
Rfam family: Bacterial small subunit ribosomal RNA
Source: RNAcentral
UCUCGUAGCUUGCUAUGAGAACAAUUAGUGGCACACGGGUGAGUAAUGCAUAUGAAUCUACCUAGUAUUAUAGGAUAGCCCCUAGAAAUGGCGGGUAAUACUGUAUAAUCCCUGCGGGGGAAAGAUUUAUCGCUACAUGAUGAGCCUAUGUUAGAUUAUCUAGUUGGUGGGGUAAUGGCCUACCAAGGCAGUGAUCUAUAGCUGGUCUGAGAGGAUGAUCAGCCACACUGGAACUGAGACACGGUCCAGACUCCUACAGGAGGCAGCAGUGGGGAAUAUUGGGCAAUGGGCGCAAGCCUGAUCCACCUAUGCCGCGUGAGUGAAGAAGGCCUUAUGGUUGUAAAACUCUUUCCGUGGGGAAGAUGAUGACGGUACCCACAGAAGAAGUCCCGGCUAACUCCGUGCCACCAGCCGCGGUAAUACGGAGGGGGCAAGCGUUGUUCGGAAUUAUUGGGCGUAAAGGGCAUGUAGGUGGUUUGGUAAGUUAAAGGUGAAAUGCCAGGGCUUAACCCUGGAGCUGCUUUUAAUACUGCCAGACUGGAAUCCGGGAG